GCUAACGCUUAAGUUCCCCGCGGGGAGACGGCCGCAAGGUAAAACUCAAAGGAAUUGACGGGGGCCCGCACAAGCAGCGGAGCAUGUGGUUAAUUGACGCAACGCGAAGAACCUUCCAAGGCUUGACAUAUACCGGAAAGCCUAGAGAUAGUGCCCCCCUUGUGGUCGGUAUACAGGUGGUGCAUGGCGUGUCAGCUCGUGUCUGAGAUGUUGGGUUAAGUCCCGCAACGAGCGCAACCCUUGUUCUGUGUUGCCAGCAUGCCCUUCGGGGUGAUGGGGACUCACAGGAGACUGCCGGGGUCAACUCGGAGGAAGGUGGGGACGACGUCAAGUCAUCAUGCCCCUUAUGUCUUGGGCUGCACACGUGCUACAAUGGCCGGUACAAUGAGCUGCGAUGCCGCGAGGCGGAGCGAAUCUCAAAAAGCCGGUCUCAGUUCGGAUUGGGGUUGCAACUCGACCCCAUGAAGUCGGAGUUGCUAGUAAUCGCAGAUCAGCAUUGCUGCGGUGAAUACGUUCCCGGGCCUUGUACACACCGCCCGUCACGUCACGAAAGUCGGUAACACCCCUAGUCGGGGCCCAACCCCUUGUGGGAGGGAGCUGUGAAGGUGGGACUGGCGAUUGGGACCGAA
This 629-nucleotide ribosomal RNA is filed under the name Streptomyces purpureus. Its description in RNAcentral is "bacterial SSU rRNA". It matches the Rfam family "Bacterial small subunit ribosomal RNA", at positions 851 to 1484 of the family's 1533-position model. The record is from RNAcentral. Lineage: Bacteria; Bacillati; Actinomycetota; Actinomycetes; Kitasatosporales; Streptomycetaceae.